AUUGAACGCUGGCGGCAUGCCUUACACAUGCAAGUCGAACGGCAGCACGGGGGCAACCCUGGUGGCGAGUGGCGAACGGGUGAGUAAUAUAUCGGAACGUACCCUGGAGUGGGGGAUAACGUAGCGAAAGUUACGCUAAUACCGCAUACGAUCUAAGGAUGAAAGUGGGGGAUCGCAAGACCUCAUGCUCCUGGAGCGGCCGAUAUCUGAUUAGCUAGUUGGUGGGGUAAAGGCCUACCAAGGCAUCGAUCAGUAGCCGGUCUGAGAGGACGACCAGCCACACUGGGACUGAGACACGGCCCAGACUCCUACGGGAGGCAGCAGUGGGGAAUUUUGGACAAUGGGGGCAACCCUGAUCCAGCAAUGCCGCGUGAGUGAAGAAGGCCUUCGGGUUGUAAG
This 399-nucleotide ribosomal RNA is filed under the name uncultured bacterium. RNAcentral's name for it is "bacterial SSU rRNA". It matches the Rfam family "Bacterial small subunit ribosomal RNA", at positions 30 to 429 of the family's 1533-position model. The record is from RNAcentral.